This is a non-coding RNA of Populus trichocarpa (black cottonwood), 156 nucleotides long. The record is from Rfam. Lineage: Eukaryota; Viridiplantae; Streptophyta; Magnoliopsida; Malpighiales; Salicaceae.
UCUAGAACUUGAGAUAUGGGCUGAACACUGAACAGUGUCUGAGAUGUAUGAUAGAUUUGGACUACUAUGUUGUUGCUAUAAUUUGAACUUGAAAACAGCCUUUUUGAAUCUUGGAUUCCGCAUGAACGUUUUAGGCCUAUGUCUUAGCUUUCCAUG